Molecule: ribosomal RNA, 253 nt
Filed under: uncultured bacterium
Lineage: Bacteria
Description: partial 16S ribosomal RNA
Rfam family: Bacterial small subunit ribosomal RNA
Source: RNAcentral
UACGUAGGGGGCUAGCGUUGUCCGGAUUUAUUGGGCGUAAAGAGCGUGUAGGCGGCCAGGUAGGUCUGCUGUGAAAACUCGAGGCUCAACCUCGAGCUGUCGGUUGAAACCACCUUGCUAGAGUCCGGAAGAGGAGAGUGGAAUUCCUGGUGUAGCGGUGAAAUGCGCAGAUAUCAGGAAGAACACCAAUGGCGAAGGCAGCUCUCUGGGACGGUACUGACGCUGAGACGCGAAAGCGUGGGGAGCGAACAGG